Molecule: ribosomal RNA, 1540 nt
Filed under: Escherichia coli
Lineage: Bacteria; Pseudomonadati; Pseudomonadota; Gammaproteobacteria; Enterobacterales; Enterobacteriaceae
Description: bacterial SSU rRNA
Rfam family: Bacterial small subunit ribosomal RNA
Source: RNAcentral
AAAUUGAAGAGUUUGAUCAUGGCUCAGAUUGAACGCUGGCGGCAGGCCUAACACAUGCAAGUCGAACGGUAACAGAAAGAAGCUUGCUUCUUUGCUGACGAGUGGCGGACGGGUGAGUAAUGUCUGGGAAACUGCCUGAUGGAGGGGGAUAACUACUGGAAACGGUAGCUAAUACCGCAUAACGUCGCAAGACCAAAGAGGGGGACCUUCGGGCCUCUUGCCAUCGGAUGUGCCCAGAUGGGAUUAGCUUGUUGGUGGGGUAACGGCUCACCAAGGCGACGAUCCCUAGCUGGUCUGAGAGGAUGACCAGCCACACUGGAACUGAGACACGGUCCAGACUCCUACGGGAGGCAGCAGUGGGGAAUAUUGCACAAUGGGCGCAAGCCUGAUGCAGCCAUGCCGCGUGUAUGAAGAAGGCCUUCGGGUUGUAAAGUACUUUCAGCGGGGAGGAAGGGAGUAAAGUUAAUACCUUUGCUCAUUGACGUUACCCGCAGAAGAAGCACCGGCUAACUCCGUGCCAGCAGCCGCGGUAAUACGGAGGGUGCAAGCGUUAAUCGGAAUUACUGGGCGUAAAGCGCACGCAGGCGGUUUGUUAAGUCAGAUGUGAAAUCCCCGGGCUCAACCUGGGAACUGCAUCUGAUACUGGCAAGCUUGAGUCUCGUAGAGGGGUAGAAUUCCAGGUGUAGCGGUGAAAUGCGUAGAGAUCUGGAGGAAUACCGGUGGCGAAGGCGGCCCCCUGGACGAAGACUGACGCUCAGGUGCGAAAGCGUGGGGAGCAAACAGGAUUAGAUACCCUGGUAGUCCACGCCGUAAACGAUGUCGACUUGGAGGUUGUGCCCUUGAGGCGUGGCUUCCGGAGCUAACGCGUUAAGUCGACCGCCUGGGGAGUACGGCCGCAAGGUUAAAACUCAAAUGAAUUGACGGGGGCCCGCACAAGCGGUGGAGCAUGUGGUUUAAUUCGAUGCAACGCGAAGAACCUUACCUGGUCUUGACAUCCACAGAACUUUCCAGAGAUGGAUUGGUGCCUUCGGGAACUGUGAGACAGGUGCUGCAUGGCUGUCGUCAGCUCGUGUUGUGAAAUGUUGGGUUAAGUCCCGCAACGAGCGCAACCCUUAUCCUUUGUUGCCAGCGGUCCGGCCGGGAACUCAAAGGAGACUGCCAGUGAUAAACUGGAGGAAGGUGGGGAUGACGUCAAGUCAUCAUGGCCCUUACGACCAGGGCUACACACGUGCUACAAUGGCGCAUACAAAGAGAAGCGACCUCGCGAGAGCAAGCGGACCUCAUAAAGUGCGUCGUAGUCCGGAUUGGAGUCUGCAACUCGACUCCAUGAAGUCGGAAUCGCUAGUAAUCGUGGAUCAGAAUGCCACGGUGAAUACGUUCCCGGGCCUUGUACACACCGCCCGUCACACCAUGGGAGUGGGUUGCAAAAGAAGUAGGUAGCUUAACCUUCGGGAGGGCGCUUACCACUUUGUGAUUCAUGACUGGGGUGAAGUCGUAACAAGGUAACCGUAGGGGAACCUGCGGUUGGAUCACCUCCUUA